Molecule: long non-coding RNA, 3842 nt
Organism: Orussus abietinus
Lineage: Eukaryota; Metazoa; Arthropoda; Insecta; Hymenoptera; Orussidae
Exons: 3
Source: RefSeq, a predicted model, not a curated record
CCGAUUCCUCUCGAAGGGAGCCCGGAAAGGAACUAGAUCCUUCCGAGUCUCCUCCGUUAAUUUUUCGUAUAACGACGAACCGCGUGGAUGAUCCGACAGAAAACGCGCACUUAGGGAAGCCCGAUGAGACUGCUCGAGGAUCUCCGUCAAGAGAGAUAGGCUUCCUCGAUCGAGUUUCAUAGGCUGACGCGGGGUUUGUUUAGCAUCCUUAUGAUGGUUCGUUAUCGGCCCUCUCGUCUCGAGGGCUGAUAUCACGGGGUUAUCGUACAGAGGAUGUCACAAGACUAGUCUAUGCAAGCGCAAGACCAAGACCAUGGUGGGCCCGGUCUUGUUCUUGAUCUUGCUUUUUCUGAGACUGAGAUCAAGAUGCAUUGAAAUCAUCGUCUAGUUUGUAAUGAGAUAACCGAAACGCUGAAAGUAGACUGCUCUUUUAAAUUUUUAUCGUCUCGAGCUGUUAUUAGGAUAGAGUAUAGCGUAGUACAGUGUAUCGAUACUUGUUGGAAAUUAACUCGUAACGAUACUCGGUUAUCACUCGUUUUCGUGUCCCACUCGGCGAAAGGGCCGAUGCGAAUCGAGGUUAAUUGAAUCGAAUGGCUGUUUGGGAAUCGUCGCGAGCUUCUACUAUCGCAAACGAAGUAUAGGCAACUGUAUUAAUAGCUUACGAAGAAACGCCCUCUCGAGGGUAAUUAUUGGUGAACACGCGCCCGAGCUUUGCAAGCUGCACAACAGGCCAUUCCCUCGCUGGCGGAAAUAGAUUUAUUGUCACCUCUGAAAACGGUUUGUUUUUACCCGCGAAUGCCAUCACGGCAGUUCUGGGACUCCUCCAGAUAAGAAUUGAAUCGAUGACACUUUUCAAUCUCUUUUACAUGCCUUUUCCAUUUCCUUGCAGGCAAGGAUUUGUCUAAACGAAAAUUCGCCGACCAUAACAAAAAGGAAAAUAUUCCACCAAUGAAGUAUAUCGUUAAUCCGGGGAACAAUUAUUUCACUCGAACACGAAGAAAUUCAUAAUUCAGGAUUCACGUUUGCGGAUUUACCGAAUCCGAAGUAUAGGAAGAACAGGAAACGAUGGAAUUUGCCGGAAUUCCUUGCCACGGGCUGUCAGGUGCGUAAUCCGCACACCUUGGUACUCAAGAUCAAGGCCUCGUUUUUUUUUUUUUUUUUUCCAAGCCAAGGAAUCCACCGUGUCGACGAAUAUUCCAAAACGCUGACGCAAAAGACACACGUACGACGUUUUUACGCAAUUUUUUUUUUCUUUCGUCACACUCGAGUCUCUACGUAGAAAUUAAUAUUCCUCUUUUUGCAGAGUCGCCGAGAGCACUGAUCGCAGAGAUAUAUAUACAUCGACCUGAGUGUGACCCACACGUGGCAUUGACGAGACAUACAUCAGAGGUCGGGACCGAACCAACGAGAUUAACCUUAAUAUCAAAAGCUUACCUACACGUAGGAAACCUUAGAGUAUCAUUUCAUGCAGUGAAGUUUAGAAAAAUCUAUACGGUGCAUUUUACACCCUGGAAGGACACAACGAGAAUGUAUGCUCGUUUAUCUCAAGCAAUAAAACUCAAGGCAAGUGUCGAAUAAAACGAUCCGCAUUUUAUUAUUGCCGGUAUAGAUGUGUACAACACAAGUGCAGUUCAUGGGUCAUUAUCGCGCUCUGUCGUGCGAUUGGUAAGUGAUAACUAGAAUUCUAGCUCACGUCGGAGAUCUCUGGCAAGAAAUGUGCAUCGUGCUGCACUAGCGAUAGGGAAAUAAAAAUAAAGAUGCCACGUCAGGCCGAGCGUGACCAUCUCCGCUUCCGGAUUGAAAUGUGCUUACAGAGAUAGAAGGAUCGGCUGCAUUGGGAGGGCCCGAGACGUGGACCUUCGGAACGCCGAAGCCUUCAACCUGACCUUGACCGUGGCCAUGAAGAGGACCAUGUGCGCUGCCAUGGUGUCCUUGGGCCGUCGUGGAAUCAUCGCUGUCACUGCUGGGAACCUGCUCCGACCCUACUCCUCCACGGGGCCUGAAAAAGAGGACGCGAUAAUCCCAAUGGAUGUCCCCUGGAUCGGCGCAUGAUCUCGCGCAUGCCGCACCUGUGGUGAGUUGUGUCGUAGCUGGCCGUCCAGUAGAGGGGCGCCACUGUCCCGUCUCGACGAUCACAGGGAUGGCAUUCAAACUAGCCCCGAGUACCGCGAGAUACCACCCGGGUCCUCAUUCCCACACGUCCCGCUCCACGAUAAGGAGCCCACCCGACUUCCCGCGCGAUUUCCUUGCCGCAAAUCCUGCGCAGUCAAUCGAUAGACCUCGGAAGCUGCUCUCGAGAUGCCGUAAGCUCCAAUCGGCCCGGAUGCCCAAGUGAUGAAUCUUCCUCUCCCCGUCUCUUUAAACCGUCCCUGCAGCUUCCUUAUAUUUCAGGAUCCUCCCCCCUGGACUCGGGACCUCGAGAGAUUCCAAGAUUCUGAGUCGGCUUCGAUCUCGAAAUACCUCCGGUAACUGGAACGACGUCUUCGACGGUUUCUCCGAAGAGCACUCUUUUGGAAUCUUCCUCGUGGGCGAAAAAAAAUCCCCAGCAAUUGGGUCGAGAUGUCAACCUCGAGAGACCGUACCGAGAUGCAGCCGCCAGGUGGUGGUCGGCGACCUGCGGCUGGACCUCGCGGUUCCGCUGCCGAUGGUGGUACUGCUGGGGCUCAGCCUGCUGCUCCUGCUCCUGCUCCUACUCCUCUCGAGGCGUGUUUCGAAGGCUCCUUUCUCUUCCUGCCUCCGACACUCCUCCCGACGAGGUCACGCGGUUUCUCACGGGGUCUUCCGGAGGUACCCUCCCAGGCUCACCCCUUUUACUUGCGGAAAAUACGGCAAUGCGACGCGCGACAACGCGGUGCGGCCUACGUCUCCCGGUGCGCUCCUCUUCCCGUCUCUCGCGGACGGCGCUCUCGCCAUCCGCGCACCCUCUCUCGGCCAAUCGCGUCUGCGCCCUGCCUCUGGAGCCGGCGAGCUCACCUAUUGACCGACUCCGACUCCGAGCCGAUCCGCGUCGAUCCCGACGAGAGACUCGCGCAUACUCCGGCACGCUCCGGCGCACUCGAUGAGCUUAACCUCCACGCCUCCUGCCCGAUCAGCUGAUCACCCUCUCCGGAUGCGCGCUUGAAUGGAGCCCCAGCAGGACUUUCUUUAAAAAUGUCACGUUUCGAAAAUAUCUUUCAUUUAUACGACAUUCCAUUAUCAUAAUUAUAAGUCGAAUUUUCUAUAGAUAAAUGUUCUAACGAGGUGUCCGUUCUCCUGCAGGAAUUAAGGCAGGGGCAGAACGCGGCGAUCAGCUGAUCGGCCUUAUUGGACGCGCACCUGAAUGGAGGCUUAGCAGGCCGUCACUUUAAGAGAUUUCUUAAAAACUUCCUAUUUUUAACGUUCCCAUGAUUCACGACUGUCUAUCCUCAGAAUUAAAGUUGGAAUUUCCUAAAGAGGUGUCCGUUGUCCCGCUGAAAUUGAGGCAGCGAUUUAAUGCGGCGAUCAGCUGAUCGCCCGACCUUGAAUGGAGAUGCCGAGGAAGGAACGACACGUGUACUUGCACGUGCACGUAGUAGAGACGUUUAUCCGCGAUAGAGAUAUCUAGCUUGAAUUAAUCUUGGAAAUUCGAAGCCAUUAUGAGUUUUCCCGCGAUAUUUCCCCGUGGAGGACACGCUUUGCCCUGCAGGUGAGACGGCAGGUUCCGCUUGAUGCCGGUGGGUCCAAUCUUCGUUGAUGCAGGAUGCACGAGAAUAACGGACUUAAUUGAUGAAGUCAUGGCAGAAAUUACUCCUCAGGGUUCGGCAGCACGUGCUGCCGAGGGUACCCGAUGAAUGGCACUUAUUAAAACCUAUCUUCUUUUCCUU